RNAcentral lists this transfer RNA (73 nucleotides) under Lawsonia intracellularis PHE/MN1-00. It matches the Rfam family "tRNA". Rfam says of the family: Transfer RNA (tRNA) molecules are approximately 80 nucleotides in length. Lineage: Bacteria; Pseudomonadati; Thermodesulfobacteriota; Desulfovibrionia; Desulfovibrionales; Desulfovibrionaceae. The record is from Rfam by way of RNAcentral.
UCCCCGGUAGCUCAAUAGGCAGAGCGGGUGACUGUUAAUCACUAGGUUGGCGGUUCAAGUCCGUCCCGGGGAG